Molecule: ribosomal RNA, 773 nt
Filed under: Lentilactobacillus buchneri
Lineage: Bacteria; Bacillati; Bacillota; Bacilli; Lactobacillales; Lactobacillaceae
Description: bacterial SSU rRNA
Rfam family: Bacterial small subunit ribosomal RNA
Source: RNAcentral
GACGAACGCUGGCGGCGUGCCUAAUACAUGCAAGUCGAACGCGUCUCCGUUGAUGAUUUUAGGUGCUUGCACUUGAAAGAUUUAACAUUGAGACGAGUGGCGAACUGGUGAGUAACACGUGGGUAACCUGCCCUUGAAGUAGGGGAUAACACUUGGAAACAGGUGCUAAUACCGUAUAACAACCAAAACCACCUGGUUUUGGUUUAAAAGACGGCUUCGGCUGUCACUUUAGGAUGGACCCGCGGCGUAUUAGCUUGUUGGUAAGGUAACGGCCUACCAAGGCGAUGAUACGUAGCCGACCUGAGAGGGUAAUCGGCCACAUUGGGACUGAGACACGGCCCAAACUCCUACGGGAGGCAGCAGUAGGGAAUCUUCCACAAUGGACGAAAGUCUGAUGGAGCAACGCCGCGUGAGUGAUGAAGGGUUUCGGCUCGUAAAACUCUGUUGUUGGAGAAGAACAGGUGUCAGAGUAACUGUUGACAUCUUGACGGUAUCCAACCAGAAAGCCACGGCUAACUACGUGCCAGCAGCCGCGGUAAUACGUAGGUGGCAAGCGUUGUCCGGAUUUAUUGGGCGUAAAGCGAGCGCAGGCGGUUUUUUAGGUCUGAUGUGAAAGCCUUCGGCUUAACCGGAGAAGUGCAUCGGAAACCGGGAGACUUGAGUGCAGAAGAGGACAGUGGAACUCCAUGUGUAGCGGUGAAAUGCGUAGAUAUAUGGAAGAACACCAGUGGCGAAGGCGGCUGUCUGGUCUGUAACUGACGCUGAGGCUCGAA